CUGGCGGCAGGCCUAACACAUGCAAGUCGAACGGUAACAGGAAGCAGCUUGCUGCUUCGCUGACGAGUGGCGGACGGGUGAGUAAUGUCUGGGAAACUGCCUGAUGGAGGGGGAUAACUACUGGAAACGGUAGCUAAUACCGCAUAACGUCGCAAGACCAAAGAGGGGGACCUUCGGGCCUCUUGCCAUCAGAUGUGCCCAGAUGGGAUUAGCUAGUAGGUGGGGUAACGGCUCACCUAGGCGACGAUCCCUAGCUGGUCUGAGAGGAUGACCAGCCACACUGGAACUGAGACACGGUCCAGACUCCUACGGGAGGCAGCAGUGGGGAAUAUUGCACAAUGGG
RNAcentral lists this ribosomal RNA (343 nucleotides) under Enterobacter sp. TEMB_02. Its description in RNAcentral is "bacterial SSU rRNA". It matches the Rfam family "Bacterial small subunit ribosomal RNA", at positions 36 to 375 of the family's 1533-position model. Lineage: Bacteria; Pseudomonadati; Pseudomonadota; Gammaproteobacteria; Enterobacterales; Enterobacteriaceae. The record is from RNAcentral.